This 2889-nucleotide small RNA is filed under the name Pongo abelii (Sumatran orangutan). RNAcentral describes it as "retained intron". The record is from RNAcentral. Lineage: Eukaryota; Metazoa; Chordata; Mammalia; Primates; Hominidae.
GAUUGUCUAUCUAAUUAUCAAUAAAUAACAGUUGUAUUUAAGGGAUGCCAGGUACAGCGAUACCAAAACAUACAUUAGUAGUUAUAGAGCGUGUCAGAAUACUUGCAUUCUUAGAUAAUGAGGUGAUUGCAAAAGUCCAAAAAUAAAGAGUUCAUUAAAUUUUGGUUUAUGCAAUCAAUGUAACCAUUAAAAAAAUGAUGAUAAUGAUAGUUUUUCAACAAGCUAGGUAAAUGGUUAGAAUGCUAAGUUAAGACCAAAAACCCAGGAUAUGAAAUUGUUGAUGUGCUCUGAUUGAACCUGUACAGAAACACACACAGGCUAUGAUCUGGCAGUAGUACCCUGACAUUGCUAACAGUGGUUGUAUUAGACUGGCUGAGUUAGAAGCAAUUGUUUUUUUUUUCCCCUCCUAUUUUCUUAAAUAUAUUUAAUUUGAUUUUAAUGACCAACAUUUUUUCAAAUUAAAUAAAAGAAUCUGGACUCAGAUUAUUAAUCAUAUCUGAAUUGCCUUCCCUCCCAGGCACCAAAAUGUAACUUAAAGUUCUGAGAAACACUGAGUGAAUGAAGAAAUGUGCUCUCGAUCCUAACAACCUGAUCUUGAACCAAACGAUUAUCUGGAUAGAACAUUGUUAAACAAAAUACUAUAUUGAUCUUAUUAAAUAUAAUACACUGUUUUGUGACUGGAGAAAACAUCAACUGCCUUUUUUUUUCCAGAUUUUUUUUUUAAGAAAGCAUUUUGUAACCCUAGGCAGGCAGUGAUAAUCAGUUUGUUUUUCCUUUGAUAGCUCCUCCUGCUGGACUAGCUUGCUUCCAGUUACUGGAAGUGAAGGGAAAGGAAAGGAGAAGAGGGACACUGCCUUUAAUACAGGGAUUGUUGUGAAGUGAAUGCCAAGAUAUCAUUUCCCCUAAUGCUCUUACAAAACUCUCAGAAAGAGCAAUUUAGAAGAUUUUUAGGAAACUGUUUGUGAUGCCAUUUGCAAGAUUGAGGGAGGUUGUUUUUGCUUCACAUUCCUAAACAAACUAAGGUAUUUCCUUUGCAAAAAGUAAUUACAGGAUCUUAACUCUUGCCUCAGUUUGUCUAAUUUUGCUCCUGUCUCCAACUCCCCAGGGUGCCGUGUUAACUCCCUCAAUGGAGCACACCAUGUCACUACAGCCCGCAUCGAUGAUCAGCCCUCUGGCCCAGCAGAUGAGUCAUCUGUCACUAGGCAGCACCGGAACAGUAGGUGGCAAAUAAUUAUCAUGUGUCUCUGUAAACAGAGGAGGGUAAAUUAAUGCAGCCUGUAUCUUCCCUAUCAAAUGACAGGCUCUAUGAUAACAGAUCAUGUCUAAUCCCCUCUCUUCCCCCAACAUGACCUUCCAUAAAGUAAAUACUCAGCUAUUUCUUGAUUAAUUGAUGAACUGAAAGUCUAUUCUCUGGGUAUCUCUCCUUUACGAGAAUAUAGCACCCACACAUGACCACAUCUAGCCUUUUAUGACUAGUGACAUUUAUAUAACUAGUACCACCGUCCCUGUGGCAGUGUCAUGAAGCAAAAGACAAAGGUAAUAAAAGGUAAACAAGCAGGGAAUUAUUUCUCGCUUGUUUCUUCUUUUAUGGAGUUUGGGAGCAUUGAAUCAUGAUCUUUAUAUUGAAAUAUUUCACCAAAGUCCAGGGGACUCCUUUGGGUAAUGAGGUUGAGCUGGCACCAGAUCAGCUUCCAGGUUUGAUGCUUAGCAUUUUGCUGGUAAGAUGGCUAAAGGAUUUUAAUUUAGCCUGUAUUCUGUAGUGGCUUAAAAGAACAAAGGGUGGUGCGUUUUCCCCUUAGACACUCAAAACCUACAGCCGUUUCUUGUGAAGGCUAAGCCAGGGCCACACAUAUCCAAUGAGAUUGACUAGAAAUUUCUCCUGCCUUUGGGAAAAGAUGACUGUCAGUGUCAGAAAAGCCAGGCUCUGCUGCCUAAUCUGCAGUGACCUGUUAGAGGUCUAAUAAGUCAUUUACCCCUGUGGGCUCCACCUAUAGAAACAAUACUAGGUACUAGUUGAGGGGGCUGCUAGAAAAUAAUGAAGUCCUUUGAGGAGAGAUCUUCUAAAAUCACACAUUAGUGAUACUGAAUUAUUGAGAGUGACAAACUUUUUUAUCUUCAUCCAUGAUAAACUUUUUUAUCUUCACCCAUGAUAAACUUUUUUAUCUUCACUUUGUUAGCAAAUCCAAAGAAAUGUGGAAUUUUUAGUUUAGCAGAUUCAAAAAGUAGAAAACAGUUUGCCUUCCAUAUGACAUAUUUAUAUGCACUAUUUAAGCUUUGAGGUAGCUCAUUUAAAUUUCUUCUUUGAGAUUUCCAAAUACAUUAUAUCCAUCUCACAAUCCCCCCACGUACUCCAAAUUUUGCAUGGUUUACCAUUGCCCAUUCUGACCUCAUUCUUCUUUGUAGUACAUGCCUGCAACGUCAGCUAUGCAAGGAGCCUACUUGCCACAGUAUGCACAUAUGCAGACGACAGCGGUUCCUGUUGAGGAGGCAAGUGGUCAACAGCAGGUGGCUGUCGAGACGUCUAAUGACCAUUCUCCAUAUACCUUUCAACCUAAUAAGUAACUGUGAGAUGUACAGAAAGGUGUUCCUACAUGAAGAAGGGUGUGAAGGCUGAACAAUCAUGGAUUUUUCUGAUCAAUUGUGCUUUAGGAAAUUAUUGACAGUUUUGCACAGGUUCUUGAAAACGUUAUUUAUAAUGAAAUCAACUAAAACUAUUUUUGCUAUAAGUUCUAUAAGGUGCAUAAAACCCUUAAAUUCAUCUAGUAGCUGUUCCCCCGAACAGGUUUAUUUUAGUAAAAAAAAAAAAACAAAAAACAAAAACAAAAGAUUUUUAUCAAAUGUUAUGAUGCAAAAAAAAAAAAAGAAAAAAAGAAAAAGAAAAAAAAGAAA